GUUGUAACCUGGUCUUACCCUGCAAAACUAUCAAGAAAAUGAAGGGCUCAAUGCUUCAAACUGAGCGUAUAUGCAAACAUUGUGCUAAGUUAAGAAAGUCAAAACAAUGUUGUGGCAUAUGCANNNNNNNNUGGCACCAUUCAGAUGGUGGAAAUUGGGUAUGUUGCGAUGGUUGUAAUGUUUGGGUGCAUGCUGAGUGUGACAACAUUUCCCGCAAACUAUUUAAGAAUCUGGAGAAAAGUGAUUAUUAUUGUCCUGAUUGCAAAAUAAAGUUUAAAUUCGAACUAUCUGCUUUAGAGAGAAGAAUGCCGCCAGUCAAGUCUAAAGGACAAGCUAUACCCCCUGACGAAGUAACCGUGGUGUGCAAUGGGAUGGAAGGAACAUAUAUUCCAAAACUUCAUUCA
RNAcentral lists this unclassified non-coding RNA (404 nucleotides) under Hevea brasiliensis (rubber tree). Lineage: Eukaryota; Viridiplantae; Streptophyta; Magnoliopsida; Malpighiales; Euphorbiaceae. The record is from RNAcentral.